GUACUUGCUUCGGCAGCACAUAUACUAAAAUUGGAGUGACACAGAGAUUAAAAUGGCCCUUGAGCAAGGAUGACACGCAAAUUUGUGAAGCAUUCCAUAUUUAA
RNAcentral lists this small nuclear RNA (104 nucleotides) under Choloepus hoffmanni (Hoffmann's two-fingered sloth). The record is from RNAcentral. Lineage: Eukaryota; Metazoa; Chordata; Mammalia; Pilosa; Megalonychidae.